Oreochromis niloticus (Nile tilapia) is the source of this 317-nucleotide long non-coding RNA. RefSeq lists it as uncharacterized. NCBI's taxonomy places the organism in Eukaryota, Metazoa, Chordata, Actinopteri, Cichliformes, Cichlidae. The record is from RefSeq and is a predicted model, not a curated record. The transcript is spliced from 3 exons.
CAGACGGGAACAACUUCCAACUUUGUCCGACAUUUGAAGUUGCAUAAAGAACGAACCACAAUUCCAUCGCUGAACUUCCUCCUGCGCCGUCGGAUGGAGCUUGGCACGCUCCCUUCAAGCUUCCAUCUUGUGGACGAUCUCCUCAGUCACUCCUUCGCAUGGCACCUCACGACACCUGCAAGUCUGGGGACUGAGAUGACCAUUCCAGAACGUUGUACUUGUUCCUCUGCAUGAAUGCCUUAGUGGAUUUUGAGCAGUGUUUUGGGCCGGCGCAGCUUCAGCUUUGUCACUGAUUCCUGGACAUUGGUCUCCAGAAU